GUGGGCGUAGCUCAGUUGGUAGAGCCCCAGGUUGUGGCCCUGGUGGUCGCGGGUUCAAGUCCCGUCGCUCACCCA
RNAcentral lists this transfer RNA (75 nucleotides) under Candidatus Zhuqueibacterota bacterium. RNAcentral's name for it is "candidate division KSB1 bacterium tRNA-His". It matches the Rfam family "tRNA". From Rfam's summary of the family: Transfer RNA (tRNA) molecules are approximately 80 nucleotides in length. Their secondary structure includes four short double-helical elements and three loops (D, anti-codon, and T loops). Lineage: Bacteria; Pseudomonadati. The record is from RNAcentral.